This is a long non-coding RNA of Numida meleagris (helmeted guineafowl), 2718 nucleotides long. RefSeq lists it as uncharacterized. The record is from RefSeq and is a predicted model, not a curated record. NCBI's taxonomy places the organism in Eukaryota, Metazoa, Chordata, Aves, Galliformes, Numididae. The transcript has 2 exons.
GGCCUUUACCUUCACUCUGCCCAGCACAGGCAUGACUUCACACAGCUUUCUUGCACAAUAUCCUCGCAGAGAGGAUAAAUACCAUACAACAGAUGAGUUACACAACUAUUUGCUGACAUGUUAUUUGCUCAAACCCAUGAAUAAAAGAAAUAAAAGUGAGGACAAUGCUGCUGCAUGAAGCUUACUGUGGAGCCCUGCUUGGGGCGGUUCUCAGCACCCAAGGUGGCAUAAGGACGGAUGUCAGGCUCUCUUUUGAUCCUCUGUACAUUCUGUAUGCUGGAGGCCUGGGCAAUGACUGCUGCUCACAGCGAUGAAACCAGGCACUUAAAGGAGAAUAUAAUUAAUAAGGGCAAUCUACUCUAAGCUGAGCUACUAUUUGGAAAAAAAAAAUCAACAAAAAAACAGCCAAAAACAACUAUUCAAGUAUUUUUAGAACAUGGAGGAAUUUUCCUGUUGCAUGGAGAUGAAUUUAAUACUACUGAAAUAUAGACAAACUUGAUUUAAUGUAUACACCAGGCAAAAAGAGGAAACUGAACUACUUGAGCUAAGGAGCUGGCAUUCAUGGUUCCUGUACAGCUGGGCACAUGGAACUUCAGCAAGAAGUUAAAAUGAUAGUGUUCUCAGCACUGAGAUCUGAACACAUGCUUUCUCUCUUCCCCAAGUACAUCCACCAGAAACAGUACAUAAAUAGUCUUCAUCUCAUGCAUUAAAAUAUAUCAAUGGUUUCACCACAUAGGUGUUGUCGACAAUGGUGAUGCUGCUUGCAGCUGAGGAGAAGCUCCAUGCACAUCCCUGCGUGCAUGACCCAAAUUCAUCAUACACCAGUGCUCUGAACACAGCAGAAGAUGCUUGGUGUUAAUGACAGGUGGCUCCAUCAAAGCAAGUAGAGGUUUUCAAGUGAGGUCAUGACACUAAAGCCAUUUCUAUUUUCUACAACAAAUUUUAAUUCUUAGAAAACAAAAUUGUUUUAUUCAACGUGGAAAACAUUACAUGGUCCUACCCAAAAAGAAUCCAUUCUAAAGCUUGUCAACUCCAAGAAUGCAGAACCAGCAAACACAUACAACCCAUUUGUGAGAAUGCUUCAAAUCCUGGAAACUGCUCCUCACAGCAAGAACCAAAUACACCGCUUCCCAGCAUAGGCUAAAACCCAAGAGAGCUGAGGAGUGCCCCUCCAGAGGGAAUGCAAACCACAGACAUACCAAAGGUAUUAGCAACAGUGCAAUACAACUAUGUCACUGGGAAGGACCAGAACUUCUUGAGUCUGCUGAAAGGUUUGAGUGUCAGCUUGUCAGUGCUGGAGCAUUUCCAUACUGUUGGAACACACCAAUGGGCAGCUGCUGGAAAGAGAAGGAUUUCAGUGAAAUUUGAGCAAGAAAUACCUGGGUCUUCCUUGUGGUUAAAACCAGCUUGCAAACACAAACAAGCCUUUCCUAAGGUACUCCUGAACGUAAACAUAUAAUGACAAAACACUACAGUAACUAGAAUUCCAAACAGCCCCCAGGUAAUGGAAAAUCAGCUUUUAUACUUCACUCAAAAGUUCUUAAGCCACAGGUCAGCCUACAUAAUGUAAGCAGAGAACAGUGAGUGCUUCAGUUCUCAGGGCACAUCCUGCUUCCCCAGGGUGUUACAGUCCCAGUGAGCUCCUGUGUGCACAGCCUGAAGGGCUGGGACUGCAUCCCUGCUCAGGACUGCAUCAUUAUGGGUGCAUACAGCAGGUAGCAGUCCUGCUGCAUCACUGUAAAAUUGGCAAGAACCUCCUUCUGGUCUCCUCAUAUCCUUAGGCUUACUCUCAGAACUGAUAUCAAACUUUCACACACACACAUAAAUAAAGCAAUGUCUUAGCAGAACAGGGGAUUACAACAUCAGGUUUUCCCCCAAAGAAUAUAAAAAGGAAGUGAUCAAUCCCUAUGUGAUACAAAAAUAAUCAUUUUCUUAGGGAGUUUGUAUCACUUGCAUGUCCUGAAGCAAGGACCUAGAGGACAAGUUCAUCACGCCAAAGGAGCCACAAUGGUAGAAGAAAGGUUCAGGGGCAGCUGAGCAGGAGUCUGAGGCUGCAGCAGCUCUGGGAGAUACAGGACCAAGGAUUGAAGAAACACAGCACUCUGGAUCCCGAGCAUCCUCAUCCACUGGGAGCUGGGGCCAAGAGUGGUGCCGAGAGCUCUGGUGUCUGCUGUUUACGGCAAUGCAGAAGAGAACAAAUCCUGAAGUCCUCAGCAGCACCACCAAAAAGCCAGAUUUUAUGUUUGUGGUUAGGUUUGACUGCAGCUCUCGUGGUGAGACUCGCUCUGCACAGCCCACAGUGGACAAACUGCACCAACUGCCAGAGACCCAAGCUCUCAGGGCAUGCUAAUUGUACAGACCAGGUCCUGAGGAGGGAGGAAUGGUUUUAAAAUGCUUGUUUGUGAACAGGAGGAAGAGGCAUCAGGUCUGGGGAAGGCUUCUGAGCAACACUUUCAGAAAGUAGAGAAAAUGACUGAAAAAAAGAAUUCAGAAUUAACUCAGAUUUAGCACAAGCUGGUGCGAUGUUACUGUAAUCAGCAGCAGCAGCUCUGCUUACCCAAGACAUGAAUGUGGGCCAGCUUGUUAUCUCUGGGCUGCCUCAUGGCUCAGAACUGCACAGCAUGGUUCUGAAGUGCAAGGCAGAAUAGAGAAUCCCAAUCUGUUCUGCUCAGCACAGCACAGGUAGCAUAAAUAAAAUAUGCACUGUGUGGGCUCUGU